AGCUCUCAAAGUCUCUCUCUAAUCGUUUGCUACUUUGUUUUUCAUUUCUAACAAUGGUUUGAAAUCUUGGUAUAACCAAAUUUUGCUGACAUUACUAGAUUAGAUAUUAGACUAGAUUAACACUCUCCUUUUUUUUUCUUGGGCAAAAGAUUAACACUCUCCCUAUUAUAAAUGUUUAUAUAUUUGUCACGUAUGAUGAUGUAUGUCUCUAUUGUCAUUCCUCUAAACAAACAUUCAAGAUGAUUCAAUAAGACAAUUUACCUUUGUUGAAGAUACUUCUCAGUUCUC
Arabidopsis thaliana (thale cress) is the source of this 288-nucleotide long non-coding RNA. RefSeq annotates it as other RNA. Lineage: Eukaryota; Viridiplantae; Streptophyta; Magnoliopsida; Brassicales; Brassicaceae. The transcript has a single exon. The record is from RefSeq.